GAUGAACGCUAGCGGCAGGCCUAACACAUGCAAGUCGAGGGCCCGGCGCACGGGUGCGUAACGCGUAUCAAUCUACCUUGUAAAGGGAUAGCCCCAGAAAUUUGGAUUCAUACCUAUUUACAUGAUGGCAUGCGUCCCAUUCGUUAGUUGGUGUGGUAACGGCACACCAAGACGAUGUUGGGUAGGGGUCCUGAAAGGGAGAUCCCCCACACUGGUACUGAGACACGGACCAGAGUCCUACGGAAUGCAGCAGUGAGGAAUAUUGGUCAAUGGAGGCAACUCUGAACCAGCCAUGCCGCGUGCAGGAUGACGGGCUAUGGAUUGUAAACUGCUUUUAUAGGGAAUCGGUGCCUAAGAAUAAGGAUCGGCUAACACCGUGCCAGCAGCCGCGGUAAUAC
This 398-nucleotide ribosomal RNA is filed under the name uncultured bacterium. RNAcentral describes it as "partial 16S ribosomal RNA". It matches the Rfam family "Bacterial small subunit ribosomal RNA", at positions 28 to 526 of the family's 1533-position model. The record is from RNAcentral.